AAGCGUCUGCAGGUGUCCUGUUAUGUCUGGCGUUAAAUUUCGGGGCUCAACCCCGAAUCUGUGCCGGAAACUGGCGGGAUCGAGUUACUCAGAGGCAUCUGGAAUGUCGUGUGUAGGGGUAAAAUCCGUAGAUACACGAUGGAACGCCAAAAGCGAAGGCAGGAUGCUAGGAGUCUACUGACACUCAGAGACGAAAGCGUGGGGAGCAAAGGGGAUUAGAUACCCCCGUAGUCCACGCCCUAAACGAUGCGGGCUCGGUGUGGGAGUUUUCAAUCGACUCCCGUGCCCUAAGCUUACGCGGUAAGCCCGCCGCCUGGGAAGUACGGCCGCAAGGCUAAAACUCAAAGGAAUAGACGGGGACCCACACAAGCGGUGGAGCAUGGGGUUUAAUUCGAUGACAAGCGAAGCACCUCACCCAGACUUGACAUGGUAGGAAUCCGGCCGAAAGGUUGGAGUGCCGCAAGGAACCUACACACAGGCGGUGCACGGUCGUCGUCAGCUCGUGCCUUGAGGUGUACUGUUCAGUCAGCCAACGAGCGCAACCCUCAUCCUAUGUUGUUUUUUCAUAGGAGACUGCCGCCUCCAAGGCGGAGGAAGGUGAGGAUGACGUCAGAUCAGCGUGCCCUUUAUGUCUGGGGCAACACCCGUGCUACAAUGGUCGGUACAAACGGAAGCGAAGCCGCGAGGCCAAGCAAUCCGAAAAAACCGAUCUCAGUUCGGAUUGAAGUCUGCAACUCGACUUCAUGAAGUUGGAAUCGCUAGUAACCGUGAAUCAGCUACGUCACGGUGAAUAUGUUCCUGGGUCUUGUACUCACCGCCCGUCAACUCAUGGGAGGUAGGAGCACCCGAAGCACCUUUACCCGCAAGGGGAGGUACCACGGUGAUACUACUGACUGGGAGUAAGUCGUAACAAGGUAA
This 918-nucleotide ribosomal RNA is filed under the name uncultured bacterium. RNAcentral's name for it is "bacterial SSU rRNA". It matches the Rfam family "Bacterial small subunit ribosomal RNA", at positions 563 to 1499 of the family's 1533-position model. The record is from RNAcentral.